Molecule: ribosomal RNA, 773 nt
Filed under: uncultured Streptococcus sp.
Lineage: Bacteria; Bacillati; Bacillota; Bacilli; Lactobacillales; Streptococcaceae
Description: bacterial SSU rRNA
Rfam family: Bacterial small subunit ribosomal RNA
Source: RNAcentral
GACGAACGCUGGCGGCGUGCCUAAUACAUGCAAGUAGAACGCACAGGAUGCACCGUAGUUUACUACACCGUAUUCUGUGAGUUGCGAACGGGUGAGUAACGCGUAGGUAACCUGCCUGGUAGCGGGGGAUAACUAUUGGAAACGAUAGCUAAUACCGCAUAAGAACAUUUACUGCAUGGUAGAUGUUUAAAAGGUGCAAAGGCAUCACUACCAGAUGGACCUGCGUUGUAUUAGCUAGUUGGUGAGGUAACGGCUCACCAAGGCAACGAUACAUAGCCGACCUGAGAGGGUGAUCGGCCACACUGGGACUGAGACACGGCCCAGACUCCUACGGGAGGCAGCAGUAGGGAAUCUUCGGCAAUGGGGGGAACCCUGACCGAGCAACGCCGCGUGAGUGAAGAAGGUUUUCGGAUCGUAAAGCUCUGUUGUUAAGGAAGAACGUGUGUGAGAGUGGAAAGUUCACACAGUGACGGUACUUAACCAGAAAGGGACGGCUAACUACGUGCCAGCAGCCGCGGUAAUACGUAGGUCCCGAGCGUUGUCCGGAUUUAUUGGGCGUAAAGCGAGCGCAGGCGGUUAGAUAAGUCUGAAGUGAAAGGCAGUGGCUCAACCAUUGUAGGCUUUGGAAACUGUUUAACUUGAGUGCAGAAGGGGAGAGUGGAAUUCCAUGUGUAGCGGUGAAAUGCGUAGAUAUAUGGAGGAACACCGGUGGCGAAAGCGGCUCUCUGGUCUGUAACUGACGCUGAGGCUCGAAAGCGUGGGGAGCGAACAGG